GACGAACGCUGGCGGCGUGCCUAAUACAUGCAAGUAGAACGCUGAAGCGAGGAGCUUGCUCUUCUUGGAUGAGUUGCGAACGGGUGAGUAACGCGUAGGUAACCUGCCUGGUAGCGGGGGAUAACUAUUGGAAACGAUAGCUAAUACCGCAUAAAAUUGAUUAUUUCAUGAUAAUUAAUUGAAAGAUGCAACUGCAUCACUACCAGAUGGACCUGCGUUGUAUUGGCUAGUUGGUGAGGUAACGGCUCACCAAGGCGACGAUACAUAGCCGACCUGAGAGGGGGAUCGGCCAAAAUGGGAAUGAGAAAAGGCCCAGAAUACUACGGGAGGCAGCAGUAGGGAAACGUCGGAAAUGGGGGGAAAGCUGAACGAGAAAAGCCGAGUGAGUGAAGAAGGUUUUCGGAUCGGAAAGCUCUGUUGUAAGAGAAGAAAGGGUGUGAGAGUGGAAAGUUCACACUGUGACGGUAUCUUAACAGAAAGGGACGGCUAACUACGUG
This 497-nucleotide ribosomal RNA is filed under the name uncultured bacterium. RNAcentral's name for it is "partial 16S ribosomal RNA". It matches the Rfam family "Bacterial small subunit ribosomal RNA", at positions 28 to 507 of the family's 1533-position model. The record is from RNAcentral.